Molecule: ribosomal RNA, 2454 nt
Filed under: Escherichia coli
Lineage: Bacteria; Pseudomonadati; Pseudomonadota; Gammaproteobacteria; Enterobacterales; Enterobacteriaceae
Description: bacterial LSU rRNA
Rfam family: Bacterial large subunit ribosomal RNA
Source: RNAcentral
UUAAGUUAGAAAGGGCGCACGGUGGAUGCCUUGACACUAGGAGUCGAUGAAGGACGGGACUAACGCCGAUAUGCUUCGGGGAGCUGUAAGUAAGCUUUGAUCCGAAGAUUUCCGAAUGGGGAAACCCACCAUACGUAAUGGUAUGGUAUCCUUAUCUGAAUACAUAGGGUAAGGAAGACAGACCCAGGGAACUGAAACAUCUAAGUACCUGGAGGAAGAGAAAGCAAAUGCGAUUUCCUGAGUAGCGGCGAGCGAAACGGAACAUAGCCCAAACCAAGAGGCUUGCCUCUUGGGGUUGUAGGACAUUCUAUACGGAGUUACAAAGGAACGAGGUAGACGAAGCGACCUGGAAAGGUCCGUCGUAGAGGGUAACAACCCCGUAGUCGAAACUUCGUUCUCUCUUGAAUGUAUCCUGAGUACGGCGGAACACGUGAAAUUCCGUCGGAAUCUGGGAGGACCAUCUCCCAAGGCUAAAUACUCCCUAGUGAUCGAUAGUGAACCAGUACCGUGAGGGAAAGGUGAAAAGCACCCCGGAAGGGGAGUGAAAGAGAUCCUGAAACCGUGUGCCUACAAAUAGUCAGAGCCCGUUAACGGGUGAUGGCGUGCCUUUUGUAGAAUGAACCGGCGAGUUACGAUCCCGUGCGAGGUUAAGCUGAAGAGGCGGAGCCGCAGCGAAAGCGAGUCUGAAUAGGGCGUUUAGUACGUGGUCGUAGACCCGAAACCAGGUGAUCUACCCAUGUCCAGGGUGAAGUUCAGGUAACACUGAAUGGAGGCCCGAACCCACGCACGUUGAAAAGUGCGGGGAUGAGGUGUGGGUAGCGGAGAAAUUCCAAUCGAACCUGGAGAUAGCUGGUUCUCCCCGAAAUAGCUUUAGGGCUAGCCUUAAGUGUAAGAGUCUUGGAGGUAGAGCACUGAUUGGACUAGGGGUCCUCAUCGGAUUACCGAAUUCAGUCAAACUCCGAAUGCCAAUGACUUAUCCUUAGGAGUCAGACUGCGAGUGAUAAGAUCCGUAGUCAAAAGGGAAACAGCCCAGACCGCCAGCUAAGGUCCCAAAGUGUGUAUUAAGUGGAAAAGGAUGUGGAGUUGCUUAGACAACUAGGAUGUUGGCUUAGAAGCAGCCACCAUUUAAAGAGUGCGUAAUAGCUCACUAGUCGAGUGACUCUGCGCCGAAAAUGUACCGGGGCUAAAUACACCACCGAAGCUGCGGAUUGAUACCAAUGGUAUCAGUGGUAGGGGAGCGUUCUAAGGACAGUGAAGUCAGACCGGAAGGACUGGUGGAGUGCUUAGAAGUGAGAAUGCCGGUAUGAGUAGCGAAAGACGGGUGAGAAUCCCGUCCACCGAAUGCCUAAGGUUUCCUGAGGAAGGCUCGUCCGCUCAGGGUUAGUCAGGACCUAAGCCGAGGCCGACAGGCGUAGGCGAUGGACAACAGGUUGAUAUUCCUGUACCACCUCUUUAUCGUUUGAGCAAUGGAGGGACGCAGAAGGAUAGAAGAAGCGUGCGAUUGGUUGUGCACGUCCAAGCAGUUAGGCUGAUAAGUAGGCAAAUCCGCUUAUCGUAAAGGCUGAGCUGUGAUGGGGAAGCUCCUUAUGGAGCGAAGUCUUUGAUUCCCCGCUGCCAAGAAAAGCUUCUAGCGAGAUAAAAGGUGCCUGUACCGCAAACCGACACAGGUAGGCGAGGAGAGAAUCCUAAGGUGUGCGAGAGAACUCUGGUUAAGGAACUCGGCAAAAUGACCCCGUAACUUCGGGAGAAGGGGUGCUUUCUUAACGGAAAGCCGCAGUGAAUAGGCCCAAGCGACUGUUUAGCAAAAACACAGCUCUCUGCGAAGCCGUAAGGCGAAGUAUAGGGGGUGACACCUGCCCGGUGCUGGAAGGUUAAGGAGAGGGGUUAGCGUAAGCGAAGCUCUGAACUGAAGCCCCAGUAAACGGCGGCCGUAACUAUAACGGUCCUAAGGUAGCGAAAUUCCUUGUCGGGUAAGUUCCGACCCGCACGAAAGGUGUAACGAUUUGGGCACUGUCUCAACCAGAGACUCGGUGAAAUUAUAGUACCUGUGAAGAUGCAGGUUACCCGCGACAGGACGGAAAGACCCCGUGGAGCUUUACUGUAGCCUGAUAUUGAAUUUUGGUACAGUUUGUACAGGAUAGGCGGGAGCCAUUGAAACCGGAGCGCUAGCUUCGGUGGAGGCGCUGGUGGGAUACCGCCCUGACUGUAUUGAAAUUCUAACCUACGGGUCUUAUCGACCCGGGAGACAGUGUCAGGUGGGCAGUUUGACUGGGGCGGUCGCCUCCUAAAGUGUAACGGAGGCGCCCAAAGGUUCCCUCAGAAUGGUUGGAAAUCAUUCGUAGAGUGCAAAGGCAUAAGGGAGCUUGACUGCGAGACCUACAAGUCGAGCAGGGACGAAAGUCGGGCUUAGUGAUCCGGUGGUUCCGCAUGGAAGGGCCAUCGCUCAACGGAUAA